RNAcentral lists this ribosomal RNA (460 nucleotides) under uncultured bacterium. RNAcentral's name for it is "partial 16S ribosomal RNA". It matches the Rfam family "Bacterial small subunit ribosomal RNA", at positions 338 to 795 of the family's 1533-position model. The record is from RNAcentral.
CCUACGGGCGGCAGCAGUGAGGAAUAUUGGUCAAUGGGCGUAAGCCUGAACCAGCCAAGUCGCGUGAGGGAUGAAGGUUCUAUGGAUCGUAAACCUCUUUUAUAAGGGAAUAAAGUGCGGGACGUGUCCCGUUUUGUAUGUACCUUAUGAAUACGGAUCGGCUACCUCCGUGCCCGCAGCCGCGGUAAUACGGAGGCUCCGAGCGUUAUCCGGAUUUAUUGGGUUUAAAGGGUGCGUAGGCGGCCUCUUAAGUCAGCGGGGAAAGUCUGUGGCUCAACCAUAAAAUUGCCGUUGAAACUGGGAGGCUGGAGUAUGAUGGGGGCAGGCGGAAGGCGUGGGGGAGCGGUGAAAUGCGUAGAUAUCACGCAGAACCCCGAUUGCGAAGGCAGCCUGCCAAGCCAUGACUGACGCUGAUGCACGAAAGCGUGGGGAUCAAACAGGAUUAGAUACCCUUGUAGUC